This is a long non-coding RNA of Oreochromis niloticus (Nile tilapia), 825 nucleotides long. RefSeq lists it as uncharacterized. The transcript has 3 exons. NCBI's taxonomy places the organism in Eukaryota, Metazoa, Chordata, Actinopteri, Cichliformes, Cichlidae. The record is from RefSeq and is a predicted model, not a curated record.
UGAAAGGUAGUGGGAGAGUGUAGGAGCCUGGCAGACAGACCGAGAUUCAGAGGGAAACACGAGGUGAGAAGCGCGAGAACAAGUGUGCGAGGGAAGGAGGGAGAGAGCAAGUCUUGGAAAGAGACAGAAAGAUGGAAGUGUGGAGGCGGGAAAGAGUGAGAGAUGCGAGGACAUAACAACCAUAGAGAAAUGUGUGUGUAUGUGUUUGCUUUAUUGCGGUGGCCCCACCUACCCCUCCAUCCUGUUAAGGAGGCACAGUCCGAAGGAGGAGGGGUAGGAUGGUAGGAUCCCCUCCCUCAGCCACCAACACACACACACUCUCUCUCUGGCUCAUACACACACUCUGCUCCGUGAGGGAGCAGUCGCUGAAGAGCUCUGGAUAGACAUGCGAGGUUCUGCAGGUGUCCCACCCUUCUCUCCUGACAUGGAUGCUAUAGGAGUGGUGUACCACGAUGAAUCAGGGUGCAGUGGAUGACAGAGAACGUGCGACAAAGAUCCAAAGUCGGACGCCAACCUAAGACAUGUGUUUGUUGGGGUCAGAGGCUGAAAGCUGCGGAGUGGUGACCGGAGCGAGAGGCCUGCGUGACAUCUGACCUCUAACUGGGCGUGUGGGUGACCCCGGAGAAUACGGCUCAACAAUGGGAGGCACGUGCCCUGGACUAGUCACCAUGGUAACACAAGACCUUUGGGGAAACGGUGGGGGGGGUCAAACCUCAUCCUUUAUCCUGAUCAGUGUUAACCAUCUGCUGCCAAUUGACUCUUAUAGAUAUAACACAUACCCGCCACAGAAGAGUGUGCAUGUGUGUUCGAGAGAGGAAACUCUGA